UACGUAGGGUGCGAGCGUUGUUCGGAAUUACUGGGCGUAAAGGGCGUGUAGGCGGACAAGUAAGCCAGGGGUGAAAGCCCGGGGCUCAACCCCGGAAUUGCUUUUGGAACUGCUUGUCUAGAGAGGGUCAGAGGCUAGUGGAAUUCCUGGUGUAGAGGUGAAAUUCGUAGAUAUCAGGAGGAACACCGGUGGCGAAAGCGGCUGGCUGGGGCCACUCUGACGCUGAGGCGCGAAAGCGUGGGGAGCAAACAGG
This 253-nucleotide unclassified non-coding RNA is filed under the name uncultured delta proteobacterium. Its description in RNAcentral is "contains 16S-23S intergenic spacer region". It matches the Rfam family "Bacterial small subunit ribosomal RNA", at positions 524 to 776 of the family's 1533-position model. Lineage: Bacteria; Deltaproteobacteria. The record is from RNAcentral.